RNAcentral lists this long non-coding RNA (661 nucleotides) under Mus musculus (house mouse). RNAcentral's name for it is "predicted gene, 47143". The record is from RNAcentral. Lineage: Eukaryota; Metazoa; Chordata; Mammalia; Rodentia; Muridae.
AAGCCCAAGAUCAUCCUCACAUGUGGCACCAAGUAGACACGACUGGGAUCCACUGCUAACAGCUAUAUUUGCCACUGCUAACCUAGAUACACACGAGUUCUGUGUAAAAUGGGCAUCAAUGAGUAAAAGACUUGGAGGAUCGUUCUAAUUCUGAACUGAAAGCCUGCUCCCGGUGGAUUAGCUUUGUUAAUAUGCAAAGUUGUUGUGCAAACUACCAAGGGAGAAGAACAAUCAAUAGUUCUAUUUGACCAGCAUUGCAAGAAAAUCCUGAAGGUACACAGUGGCACCUUUAUCCUGUGUUAACCACCAGCCACUUAAUGGACAUAAGGGAGAGACAAUAAAAGAAAUCAUUACAGAGAGCCACAACUGGUCAAAAGGCAGAGAUCAACUGAACAAAAAAUGCCUGUCUCAAAGUGAUAUAUUUAAAACAUGACCUCUACACUCAAGGAUCAGGGAACGUGCCAGAAAAUGGAGCAAAAUGUUGGUAUGAUCCAGAGGACCAGAAUAUCUACAAAGCAAUAGUUUCUUCUUAAAAAACAAAUGGUAGAAAGUGAAGCUGGAUCUAGGAAGAGAUGGGAAGAAAAGAAGAGAGUGAAUGUGAUCAGUGUAUACUGUGAAAUUCUCAAAGAACUAAUAAAAUUAUUAUGUUAUUAAAAUGUCA